UACGUAGGGUGCGAGCGUUAAUCGGAAUUACUGGGCGUAAAGCGUGCGCAGGCGGUUUUGUAAGCCAGAUGUGAAAUCCCCGGGCUUAACCUGGGAACUGCAUUGGUGACUGCACGGCUAGAGUGUGUCAGAGGGGGGUAGAAUUCCACGUGUAGCAGUGAAAUGCGUAGAGAUGUGGAGGAAUACCGAUGGCGAAGGCAGCCCCCUGGGAUAACACUGACGCUCAUGCACGAAAGCGUGGGGAGCAAACAGG
RNAcentral lists this ribosomal RNA (253 nucleotides) under uncultured bacterium. Its description in RNAcentral is "partial 16S ribosomal RNA". It matches the Rfam family "Bacterial small subunit ribosomal RNA", at positions 524 to 776 of the family's 1533-position model. The record is from RNAcentral.